RNAcentral lists this microRNA precursor (73 nucleotides) under Cricetulus griseus (Chinese hamster). RNAcentral describes it as "mir-3473 microRNA precursor family". It matches the Rfam family "mir-3473 microRNA precursor family". Lineage: Eukaryota; Metazoa; Chordata; Mammalia; Rodentia; Cricetidae. The record is from Rfam by way of RNAcentral.
ACCACUGAGCCAUCUCUCCAGCCCACAGCUUGCUUUCUUUAAAAAAAGAAGGCUGGAGAGAUGGCUCGGUGGU